UUAGUUAAAGCCAAAAAGAGGCAUUUCAUUGUUAAUGAAAAAAUUGAUUAAAUAAUCUAACUAAA
This 65-nucleotide transfer RNA is filed under the name Tuxedo bicinctus. RNAcentral describes it as "tRNA-Asn". Lineage: Eukaryota; Metazoa; Arthropoda; Insecta; Hemiptera; Miridae. The record is from RNAcentral.